Molecule: ribosomal RNA, 550 nt
Filed under: uncultured bacterium
Lineage: Bacteria
Description: bacterial SSU rRNA
Rfam family: Bacterial small subunit ribosomal RNA
Source: RNAcentral
UGGGGAAUAUUGGACAAUGGGGGGAACCCUGAUCCAGCCAUGCCGCGUGUGUGAAGAAGGCCUUAUGGUUGUAAAGCACUUUAAGCGAGGAGGAGGCUACUUUAGUUAAUACCUAGAGAUAGUGGACGUUACUCGCAGAAUAAGCACCGGCUAACUCUGUGCCAGCAGCCGCGGUAAUACAGAGGGUGCGAGCGUUAAUCGGAUUUACUGGGCGUAAAGCGUGCGUAGGCGGUUUAUUAAGUCGGAUGUGAAAUCCCCGAGCUUAACUUGGGAAUUGCAUUCGAUACUGGUGAGCUAGAGUAUGGGAGAGGAUGGUAGAAUUCCAGGUGUAGCGGUGAAAUGCGUAGAGAUCUGGAGGAAUACCGAUGGCGAAGGCAGCCACCUGGCCAAAUACUGACGCUGAGGUACGAAAGCAUGGGGAGCAAACAGGAUUAGAUACCCUGGUAGUCCACGCCGUAAACGAUGUCGAUUUGGAGGUUGUGCCCUUGAGGCGUGGCUUCCGGAGCUAACGCGUUAAAUCGACCGCCUGGGGAGUACGGCCGCAAGGUUA